Schistocerca cancellata (South American locust) is the source of this 1098-nucleotide RNA transcript. RefSeq lists it as uncharacterized. The transcript is spliced from 2 exons. NCBI's taxonomy places the organism in Eukaryota, Metazoa, Arthropoda, Insecta, Orthoptera, Acrididae. The record is from RefSeq and is a predicted model, not a curated record.
UUUAGACAAUUUGUUAUAUAUUUUAAUUGUCAUAUACUUAUGACUAUUGUUAGUUUUAGCUAAUCUAUUUUGUGGCAACAGCGGAGAAGUACACGUUCUUGUAUAGUAGUCAUGCCUUUCAUUUGUUACACUUAAAUUAGGUAGUUCAGCAAGUAUGUAGUUAACACUGUCAAGAAUAUAUAAAUUAAUAACUGUUAAAAUUCUAUAUUUAAUGAACAAUGGUUUACAAUGUGUUCUAUUAUCUACCUUAGCCAUUACUCUGAUUGCUUUUUUCUGGAUCACCAUAAUUUCAUUUAUUUUUCUGCUGUUUCCCCAGAGUAUUAACCCAUACCUUAAAACAGAUUGAAAAAAGGCAAAGUACGCUGUCCUUAUGUACUCAAAUGUUACACAACACAUCAGUCGCUUCAACGAAUAUAUAGGCCUAACUCUUGACAACCUAACCGCUAUGUGAUCAACAUGAGAGUUCCAUGUUAGACUGUUGUCAAGUACAAUACCUAAAACCUUUGCCUUUUGUUUUUCUAUUUUUGUAGUCUUUGAUAGACUGAACCAAUAUUCUGGGUCUUUUCCUCAUUUAAUAGCAGACCAUUGGCAUUAAACCAUGAUGUUGCAUUUUCUUUUGCCAAUUUCAUAUCACUUACAAGGUUAUCAUGUACAUGGUUUACAUAUAGAAAAGUUGUGUCAUCUGCAUACAUAUAUGUCUUUACAUCUAUUUGAAACAGUUUUGCACAAAAAUCCCGUACGUGUUAUCUUUCGUGAUCAUAGCAUACCAACCAAAUACCAUAAGUGUUAUUUUGAACAAAUGUACAAACUUUUGCAGGAGGAUGGAGGCUCCAGUCUUCAUACAACUGUCCUGAUUUGAGUUUUCCAUGGUUUCUCAAAAAUAAUUCAGGAAAUUUCGGAUUGUUCCUACUAUAUGGCCACAGCCAACUACCUUUUCCAUCCUUGUCAUACUAUACCCGAUGAAAACGGAUCCCGACGUACUUCAGGAACUGAACCAGCAAAUAUACAAAUUGAGUAGAUAUCUACCAAACAUAGGAGAUAGAUGAGGAUUCAUCAAAAUGUGGUUUGCUAAAGCUCAUUCUCAAAGUAACUGUGGAG